RNAcentral lists this ribosomal RNA (254 nucleotides) under uncultured bacterium. RNAcentral's name for it is "partial 16S ribosomal RNA". It matches the Rfam family "Bacterial small subunit ribosomal RNA", at positions 524 to 776 of the family's 1533-position model. The record is from RNAcentral.
UACGUAGGGUCCAAGCGUUAUCCGGAAUCACUGGGCGUAAAGCGUGCGUAGGCGGAUGUUUAAGUGAGAUGCGAAAUCUUGUGGCUCAACCAUAUAGACUGUAUCUCAUACUGGACGUCUUGAGGACAUGAGAGGCUAGUGGAAUUACUGGUGUAGCAGUGAAAUGCGUAGAUAUCAGUAGGAACACCAAUGGCGAAGGCAGCUAGCUGGCAUGUAUCUGACGCUAAGGCACGAAAGCGUGGGGAUCAAACAGG